RNAcentral lists this ribosomal RNA (497 nucleotides) under uncultured bacterium. RNAcentral describes it as "partial 16S ribosomal RNA". It matches the Rfam family "Bacterial small subunit ribosomal RNA", at positions 28 to 507 of the family's 1533-position model. The record is from RNAcentral.
GAUGAACGCUGGCGGCGUGCCUAAUACAUGCCAGUCGAGCGAACGGACGAGAAGCUUGCUUCUCUGAUGUUAGCGGCGGACGGGUGAGUACCACGUGGAUAACCUACCUAUAAGACUGGGAUAACUUCGGGAAACCGGAGCUAAUACCGGAUAAUAUUUUGAACCGCAUGGUUCAAAAGUGAAAGACGGUCUUGCUGUCACUUAUAGAUGGAUCCGCGCUGCAUUAGCUAGUUGGUAAGGUAACGGCUUACCAAGGCAACGAUGCAUAGCCGACCUGAGAGGGUGAUCGGCCACACUGGAACUGAGACACGGUCCAGACUCCUACGGGAGGCAGCAGUAGGGAAUCUUCCGCAAUGGGCGAAAGCCUGACGGAGCAACGCCGCGUGAGUGAUGAAGGUCUUCGGAUCGUAAAACUCUGUUAUUAGGGAAGAACAUAUGUGUAAGUAACUGUGCACAUCUUGACGGUACCUAAUCAGAAAGCCACGGCUAACUACGUG